GACGAACGCUGGCGGCGUGCUUAACACAUGCAAGUCGAACGGAAAGGCCCUGCUUGCAGGGUACUCGAGUGGCGAACGGGUGAGUAACACGUGGGUGAUCUGCCCUGCACUUCGGGAUAAGCCUGGGAAACUGGGUCUAAUACCGGAUAGGAGCCAUUUUUAGUGUGAUGGUUGGAAAGUUUUUUCGGUGUAGGAUGAGCUCGCGGCCUAUCAGCUUGUUGGUGGGGUAAUGGCCUACCAAGGCGGCGACGGGUAGCCGGCCUGAGAGGGUGGACGGCCACAUUGGGACUGAGAUACGGCCCAGACUCCUACGGGAGGCAGCAGGGGGGAAUAUUGCACAAGGGGCGCAAGCCUGAUGCAGCGACGCCGCGUGGGGGAGGACGGCCUUCGGGUUGUAAACUCCUUUCGCUAGGGACGAAGCUUUUUGUGACGGUACCUAGAGAAGAAGCACCGGCUAACUACGUG
Molecule: ribosomal RNA, 465 nt
Filed under: uncultured bacterium
Lineage: Bacteria
Description: partial 16S ribosomal RNA
Rfam family: Bacterial small subunit ribosomal RNA
Source: RNAcentral